RNAcentral lists this unclassified non-coding RNA (259 nucleotides) under Hevea brasiliensis (rubber tree). The record is from RNAcentral. Lineage: Eukaryota; Viridiplantae; Streptophyta; Magnoliopsida; Malpighiales; Euphorbiaceae.
GAUAUUGAAUCCAGCUUUAGCACUUGUUUCGAUAAACAUGACAUUUAGUUCACGGGCUUUGGCUUCUCCUUCCUCUAUGGAGACUUGUCUCUUCUCCACGAGGUCCGUUUUGUUCCCAACAAGCACUAUAAUGACAUCACUGCCCCUCUCAGUGCGCACCUCCUCAAUCCAUUUUGAAGUGUUUAGGAAAGUUUGCCGGCUUGCAACAUCAUAAACGAUGACAGCGACAGAUGAGUCCCUGAUAUAGCUUGGAAUCAGA